This 253-nucleotide ribosomal RNA is filed under the name uncultured bacterium. RNAcentral describes it as "partial 16S ribosomal RNA". It matches the Rfam family "Bacterial small subunit ribosomal RNA", at positions 524 to 776 of the family's 1533-position model. The record is from RNAcentral.
GACGGAGGGUGCUAGCGUUGUUCGGAAUUACUGGGCGUAAAGAGCGCGUAGGCGGCUUGGUAAGUUGGGAGUGAAAGCCCGAGGCUUAACCUCGGAAUUGCUCUCAAAACUGCUGAGCUAGAGUAUGGUAGGGGAUGGUAGAAUUCCUAGUGUAGAGGUGGAAUUCUUAGAUAUUAGGAGGAAUACCGGUGGCGAAGGCGGCCAUCUGGACCAUUACUGACGCUGAGGCGCGAAAGCGUGGGGAGCAAACAGG